Molecule: long non-coding RNA, 638 nt
Filed under: Phasianus colchicus (ring-necked pheasant)
Lineage: Eukaryota; Metazoa; Chordata; Aves; Galliformes; Phasianidae
Description: lncRNA (ENSPCLG00000019014.1)
Source: RNAcentral
UGGGGUCAGCCACAGAUUUUGGGGUCAGCCCCGACUUUGGGCUCAGCCACAGAUUUUGGGGUCAGCACAGACUUUGGGGUCGGUACCGACAUUGGGGUCAGCACCGUCAUUGGGGUCCAGCACAAACUUUGGGGUCAGCACAGACUUUGGGGUCAGCUCCGACUUUGGGGUUAGCCACAGAUUUUGGGGUCAGCACAGACUUUGAGGUCACCCAUCGACUUUGGGGUCAGCUCCGACUUUGGGGUCUGCCACAGAUUUUGGGGUCAGCACAGACUUUGGGGUCGGUACCGACAUUGGGGUCAGCCACAGAUUUUGGGGUCACCCGCCGACUUUGGGGUCAGCACCGUCAUUGGGGUCCGCCACAAACUUUGGGGUCAGCACAGACUUUGGGGUCACCCAUCGACUUUGGGGUCAGCUCCGACUUUGGGGUCAGCCACAGAUUUUGGGGUCAGCACCAUUAUUGGGGUCAGUACCGACUUUGGGGUCAGCUACAAACUUUGGGGUCAGCACCGACAUUGGGGUCGGCACCGACAUUGGGGUCACCCACCGACACUGGGGUCCCCCCUCGGGAUCGGGGCUCCCCGUGGACUUUGGGGUCCCCACGGAUGUCGGGGUUUCCCGAUAUUGGGGUCCCAUAG